GGGGGGGACGGAGCUGGUGGUCCCACUUUAUACAUUCAUCUACAUUCCAAAGAAACCCGCUGCAGACACACUGAGGUUGUUCUGGUGUCCAGUUCUUCCAUGUCUGGUCCGGACGGCUGUUUGAAAAAGCUCCACACACACCAAGAGGAGACAUUAUGUUCAUGAGGAUGACUCCACUGCCUCUCACUUUCUUCUCAUGAUUCUUUUUUUUUCUUUUCAACUGCAAUAAAUUUAUUCUUUUUCAUUAUCA
Long non-coding RNA from Xiphophorus couchianus (Monterrey platyfish), 250 nucleotides. RefSeq lists it as uncharacterized. The record is from RefSeq and is a predicted model, not a curated record. Lineage: Eukaryota; Metazoa; Chordata; Actinopteri; Cyprinodontiformes; Poeciliidae. The transcript has 2 exons.